Molecule: ribosomal RNA, 877 nt
Filed under: Enterococcus faecium
Lineage: Bacteria; Bacillati; Bacillota; Bacilli; Lactobacillales; Enterococcaceae
Description: bacterial SSU rRNA
Rfam family: Bacterial small subunit ribosomal RNA
Source: RNAcentral
ACCGGAGCUUGCUCCACCGGAAAAAGAAGAGUGGCGAACGGGUGAGUAACACGUGGGUAACCUGCCCAUCAGAAGGGGAUAACACUUGGAAACAGGUGCUAAUACCGUAUAACAAUCGAAACCGCAUGGUUUUGAUUUGAAAGGCGCUUUCGGGUGUCGCUGAUGGAUGGACCCGCGGUGCAUUAGCUAGUUGGUGAGGUAACGGCUCACCAAGGCCACGAUGCAUAGCCGACCUGAGAGGGUGAUCGGCCACAUUGGGACUGAGACACGGCCCAAACUCCUACGGGAGGCAGCAGUAGGGAAUCUUCGGCAAUGGACGAAAGUCUGACCGAGCAACGCCGCGUGAGUGAAGAAGGUUUUCGGAUCGUAAAACUCUGUUGUUAGAGAAGAACAAGGAUGAGAGUAACUGUUCAUCCCUUGACGGUAUCUAACCAGAAAGCCACGGCUAACUACGUGCCAGCAGCCGCGGUAAUACGUAGGUGGCAAGCGUUGUCCGGAUUUAUUGGGCGUAAAGCGAGCGCAGGCGGUUUCUUAAGUCUGAUGUGAAAGCCCCCGGCUCAACCGGGGAGGGUCAUUGGAAACUGGGAGACUUGAGUGCAGAAGAGGAGAGUGGAAUUCCAUGUGUAGCGGUGAAAUGCGUAGAUAUAUGGAGGAACACCAGUGGCGAAGGCGGCUCUCUGGUCUGUAACUGACGCUGAGGCUCGAAAGCGUGGGGAGCAAACAGGAUUAGAUACCCUGGUAGUCCACGCCGUAAACGAUGAGUGCUAAGUGUUGGAGGGUUUCCGCCCUUCAGUGCUGCAGCUAACGCAUUAAGCACUCCGCCUGGGGAGUACGACCGCUAGGUUGAAACUCAAAGGAAUUGACGGGGGCCCGCACA